RNAcentral lists this RNase P RNA (314 nucleotides) under Hyunsoonleella flava. Its description in RNAcentral is "Hyunsoonleella sp. T58 RNase P RNA component class A". It matches the Rfam family "Bacterial RNase P class A". From Rfam's summary of the family: Ribonuclease P (RNase P) is a ubiquitous endoribonuclease, found in archaea, bacteria and eukarya as well as chloroplasts and mitochondria. Lineage: Bacteria; Pseudomonadati; Bacteroidota; Flavobacteriia; Flavobacteriales; Flavobacteriaceae. The record is from RNAcentral.
UGAGUAAAUCGCCUUAUCGUUACGCCAUUGGUGUAAAGGAAAGUCCGAACACCGUAGUGCAACGCAGUGGUUAACAGCCACCGGCCGAAAGGUUAGGAAAAGUGCAACAGAAAGUAUGUACGGGUAAUGCCGUAGUGAAACCAGGUAAACUCUGUGUGGUGCAAUGCCAUGUAUACCAGCGCUUGAAAGCGGCACGUUUGAUUGCUGGAGGGUAGGCAGCUAAAGUGUUUUGGUAACAAAACAUUGAGAUAAAUGAUAAGGGCUUUUUCUUUUUGGAAAGGGUACAGAAUUCGGCUUAUAGAUUUGCUUAAAUA